UUGAACGCUGGCGGCAUGCUUUACACAUGCAAGUCGAACGGCAGCGCGGGCUUCGGCCUGGCGGCGAGUGGCGAACGGGUGAGUAAUACAUCGGAACGUGCCCAGUAGUGGGGGAUAGCUCGGCGAAAGCCGGAUUAAUACCGCAUACGACCUGAGGGUGAAAGCGGGGGAUCUUCGGACCUCGCGCUAUUGGAGCGUCCGAUGGCAGAUUAGCUAGUUGGUGGGGUAAAGGCCUACCAAGGCGACGAUCUGUAGCUGGUCUGAGAGGACGACCAGCCACACUGGGAAUGAGACACGGCCCAGACGCCUACGGGAGGCAGCAGUGGGGAAUUUUGGACAAUGGGCGAAAGCCUGAUCCAGCAAUGCCGCGUGUGUGAUGAAGGCCUUAGGGUUGUAAAGCACUUUUGGCGGGAACGAAAAGGACUGUGCCAAUACCACGGUUCGAUGACGGUACCCGCAGAAUAAGCACCGGCUAACUACGUG
RNAcentral lists this ribosomal RNA (483 nucleotides) under uncultured bacterium. Its description in RNAcentral is "partial 16S ribosomal RNA". It matches the Rfam family "Bacterial small subunit ribosomal RNA", at positions 29 to 507 of the family's 1533-position model. The record is from RNAcentral.